Molecule: ribosomal RNA, 767 nt
Filed under: uncultured bacterium
Lineage: Bacteria
Description: bacterial SSU rRNA
Rfam family: Bacterial small subunit ribosomal RNA
Source: RNAcentral
AGAGUUUGAUCAUGGCUCAGGACAAACGCUGGCGGCGUGCCUAACACAUGCAAGUCGAACGGGGCAUAGUUUUCGGAUUAUGCCGAGUGGCGGACGGGUGAGUAAGACGUGGGCGACCUGCCGCUUGGAGGGGGAUACCCCGCGGAAACGCGGGUUAAGACCGCAUACGCUGGUCUGGGUAGAUCCGGAUCAGGAAAACGCUUCGGCGUGCCAAGUGAGGGGCCUGCGGCCGAUUAGCUAGUUGGGGGGGUAACGGCCUCCCAAGGCGACGAUCGGUAGCUGGUCUGAGAGGACGAUCAGCCACACUGGGAUUGAGAACGGCCCAGACUCCUACGGGGGGCAGCAGUGAGGGAUCUUCGGCAAUGGGGGAAACCCUGCCGAGCGACGCCGCGUGCGGGACGAAGGCCUUCGGGUCGUAAACCGCUUUUCUUGGGGACGAGAAUGGACGGUACCCGAGGAAGAAGCCUCGGCUACUACGUGCCAGCAGCCGCGGUAAUACGUAGGAGGCGAGCGUUGUCCGGAGUUACUGGGCGUAAAGGGUGCGUAGGCGGCUGCGCGCGUGGAGGGUGAAAUCUCUCGGCUUACCCGGGAGGGGGCUUUCCAGACGGCGUGGCUUGAGGGACGGAGAGGGGCGUGGAAUUCCGGGUGGAGCGGUGAAAUGCGUAGAGAUCCGGAGGAACACCGACGGCGUAGGCAGCGCCCUGGCCGUUUCCUGCCUGAAGCACGAAAGCUGGGGGAGCAAACAGGAUUAGAUACCCUAGUAGUCC